RNAcentral lists this ribosomal RNA (468 nucleotides) under uncultured bacterium. RNAcentral describes it as "partial 16S ribosomal RNA". It matches the Rfam family "Bacterial small subunit ribosomal RNA", at positions 28 to 507 of the family's 1533-position model. The record is from RNAcentral.
GACGAACGCUGGCGGCGUGCUUAACACAUGCCAGUCGAACGGAAAGGCCCUGCUUUUGCGGGGUGCUCGAGUGGCGAACGGGUGAGUAACACGUGAGUAACCUGCCCUUGACUUUGGGAUAACUCCAGGAAACUGGGGCUAAUACCGGAUAGGAGCUCCUGCUGCAUGGUGGGGGUUGGAAAGUUUCGGCGGUGGGGGAUCGACUGGCGGCUUAUCAGCUUGUUGGUGGGGUAGUGGCUUACAAAGGCUUCGACGGGUAGCCGGCCUGAGCGGGUGGCCGGCCACAAUGGGACUGCGAGACGGCCCAGUCGCCUACGGGAGGCAGCAGUGGGGAAUAUUGCACAAUGGGCGCAAGCCUGAUGCAGCGGCGCCGCGUUCGGGAUGACGGCCUUCGGGGUGUAAACCGCUUUCGCCUGAGACGAAGCGUUAGUGACGGUAAUGGGUAAAGAAGCACCGGCUAACUACGUG